This 58-nucleotide transfer RNA is filed under the name Cricetulus griseus (Chinese hamster). It matches the Rfam family "tRNA", at positions 8 to 63 of the family's 71-position model. Rfam says of the family: Transfer RNA (tRNA) molecules are approximately 80 nucleotides in length. Their secondary structure includes four short double-helical elements and three loops (D, anti-codon, and T loops). Lineage: Eukaryota; Metazoa; Chordata; Mammalia; Rodentia; Cricetidae. The record is from Rfam by way of RNAcentral.
UAGCUUAGUGGUUAAGAGCACUGGCUGCUCUUCCAGAGGGCCUGGGUUCAAUUCCCAG